RNAcentral lists this ribosomal RNA (201 nucleotides) under uncultured bacterium. RNAcentral describes it as "partial 16S ribosomal RNA". It matches the Rfam family "Bacterial small subunit ribosomal RNA", at positions 328 to 539 of the family's 1533-position model. The record is from RNAcentral.
ACGCUCGACACCUACGGGAGGCAGCAGUGGGGAAUAUUGGGCAAUGGGCGCAAGCCUGACCCAGCAACGCCGCGUGAAGGAAGAAGGCUUUCGGGUUGUAAACUUCUUUUCUCAGGGACGAAGGAAGUGACGGUACCUGAGGAACAAGCCACGGCUAACUACGUGCCGGCAGCUGCGGUAAUCUGAGCGGGCUGGCAAGGC